RNAcentral lists this transfer RNA (72 nucleotides) under Camelus bactrianus (Bactrian camel). It matches the Rfam family "tRNA". Rfam says of the family: Transfer RNA (tRNA) molecules are approximately 80 nucleotides in length. Their secondary structure includes four short double-helical elements and three loops (D, anti-codon, and T loops). RNAcentral also lists the same sequence under 3 other names. The record is from Rfam by way of RNAcentral. Lineage: Eukaryota; Metazoa; Chordata; Mammalia; Artiodactyla; Camelidae.
GAGAGUAUAGCUCAGUGGUAAAGCAUGUGCGUAGCAUGCACAAGGUCUUGGGUUCAAUCCCCAGUACCACCA